AGUGAACGCUGGCGGUAGGCCUAACACAUGCAAGUCGAACGGCAGCACAGUAAGAGCUUGCUCUUACGGGUGGCGAGUGGCGGACGGGUGAGGAAUACAGCGGAAUCUACUUUUUCGUGGGGGAUAACGUAGGGAAACUUACGCUAAUACCGCAUACGACCUACGGCUGAAAGCAGGGGAUCUUCGGACCUUGCGCGAUUGAAUGAGCCGAUGUCGGAUUAGCUAGUUGGCGGGGUAAAGGCCCACCAAGGCGACGAUCCGUAGCUGGUCUGAGAGGAUGAUCAGCCACACUGGAACUGAGACACGGUCCAGACUCCUACGGGAGGCAGCAGUGGGGAAUAUUGGACAAUGGGCGCAAGCCUGAUCCAGCCAUACCGCGUGGGUGAAGAAGGCCUUCGGGUUGUAAAGCCCUUUUGUUGGGAAAGAAAAGCAGCAGGUUAAUACCCCGCUGUUCUGACGGUACCCAAAGAAUAAGCACCGGCUAACUUCGUG
RNAcentral lists this ribosomal RNA (492 nucleotides) under uncultured bacterium. RNAcentral describes it as "partial 16S ribosomal RNA". It matches the Rfam family "Bacterial small subunit ribosomal RNA", at positions 29 to 507 of the family's 1533-position model. The record is from RNAcentral.